GAAAUUUCAUUCGCACUAGUGAUAGCUAGUUUCUUCGGAAAGACAUAAAAGUGUCGCCAAAAGUAAAAUUUAUAAUAUUAAUCAUUAUAUAUGUCUAUGCUUUUUACUAAUUUUUUUGAGGAUAAGCUCAAAAAAAAGUUAAGGUUUGUUUUUAAUUAAAUCUGCUGUGUAGAUUGGAAAUUGAUCAUCACAAAAGUUUUGGGUAAAAUAGUAAUCUUGAUUUGGUAAAUAAAUAUAAUUUAAACUAACUUUUUACGGAGAUAAAAACUUGUAAUUAAAACGAGUUUUAUGCCUAUGCUAGAAUGAGUAUUAAAAACUAAAUUAUAAGAGAAAUCCGUAGAUAUAUUUUCUCUAGAAAAUUUUAUUUAAAAAAUUAAUUAACUAAAAGGAACUCGGCAAAUUUAGUUGUUCCGCCUGUUUAUCAAAAACAUGGACCUUUGAUUAUAUAAAUAUAAAGAGUCGAGCCUGCCC
This 471-nucleotide ribosomal RNA is filed under the name Semisulcospira shiraishiensis. Its description in RNAcentral is "partial 16S ribosomal RNA". The record is from RNAcentral. Lineage: Eukaryota; Metazoa; Mollusca; Gastropoda; Semisulcospiridae.